RNAcentral lists this ribosomal RNA (3654 nucleotides) under Triticum aestivum (bread wheat). Its description in RNAcentral is "partial small subunit ribosomal RNA". The record is from RNAcentral. Lineage: Eukaryota; Viridiplantae; Streptophyta; Magnoliopsida; Poales; Poaceae.
AUGGCCCGUGCGCGGAAGCGCGACCGCCUGCGAUGGAGCAAGCUCUACACCUUCUCCUGCUUCGGCCACCCACACACUGACGAGGCCGCCGGCCCCGCCGCCGUCAGCGGCAGCCCCGUCGGCGGCCCGGGCUUCUCGCGCAUCGUGCACUGCAACAACUCCAUCCUCCACCGCCGGAAGCCGCUCAAGUACCCCACCAACUACAUCUCCACCACCAAGUACAACGUCCUCACCUUCCUCCCCAAGGCCAUCUUCGAGCAGUUCCGCCGCGUCGCCAACCUCUACUUCCUCCUCACCGCCAUCCUCUCGCUCACCCCAGUCUGCCCCUUCUCCCCCGUCAGCAUGAUCGCCCCCUUGGCCUUUGUGGUAGGGCUCAGUAUGAUCAAGGAGGCCCUGGAGGACUGGCGAAGGUUCAUGCAGGACAUGAAGGUGAACAGCCGCAAGGUCAGCGUGCACAAGGGUGAAGGUGAAUUUGAGUUCCGACAUUGGGAGGACCUUUGUGUUGGUGAUGUGGUCAGGGUUGAGAAGGACCAGUUCUUCCCUGCUGAUUUGUUGCUCUUGUCGUCGAGCUAUGAGGAUGGCAUUUGCUACGUUGAGACAAUGAACCUGGAUGGCGAGACAAACCUGAAGCUCAAGAGGUCGCUGGAGGUUACGCUGCCAUUGGAAGAGGAUGAGACGUUUAAGGAUUUCCGGGGAAUCAUAAGGUGUGAGGACCCAAACGCAAGCUUGUACACAUUCAUUGGUAACUUGGAAUACGAGAGGCAGGUGUAUGCCCUCGAUCCGUCACAGAUACUUCUCAGGGACUCAAAGCUGAGGAACACAGCCUUUAUCUAUGCAGUGGUCGUUUUUACAGGGCAUGACAGUAAGGUGAUGCAGAAUUCAACCGAGUCGCCAUCAAAGAGGAGCAGGAUUGAGAAGAAGAUGGAUUUGAUCAUAUACAUUUUGUUCACUGUUCUGGUUUUAAUAUCGCUCAUCAGUUCGAUUGGUUUUGCUGUGAGGAUCAAGCUUGAUCUGCCCAGGUGGUGGUACUUGCAGCCUCAGAACUCCAACAAAUUGGACGAUCCAACACGCCCUGCUCUUUCUGGGAUUUUCCAUCUCAUUACAGCACUCAUUCUCUACGGGUAUUUGAUUCCGAUCUCGCUCUAUGUCUCAAUUGAAGUUGUGAAGGUGGCACAGGCACAUUUCAUUAAUCAGGACAUUCAUAUGUUUGAUGAGGAGACUGGCAAUACUGCUCAGGCCCGAACUUCAAACUUGAAUGAGGAGCUUGGCCAAGUUCAUACGAUUUUGUCAGAUAAAACCGGCACUUUGACCUGUAAUCAGAUGGAUUUCUUGAAGUGUUCAAUUGCUGGGGUUUCUUAUGGUGUGCGUGCGAGUGAAGUUGAAAGGGCUGCUGCAAAGCAGAUGGCAUCAGGCGCUGCUGACCAUGAUAAUCCUGUGGAAGAUGUAUGGGAGAGUAAUGAGGAUGAAAUCCAGUUAGUGGAAGGAGUUACCUUCAGCGUGGGAAAGACCCAAAAAUCCUCGAUAAAAGGCUUUAGUUUUCAGGAUGACCGUCUUAUGCAAGGGCACUGGACAAAUGAACCAAAUUCCUCCACGAUUCUUCUGUUCUUCCGGAUACUUGCUAUUUGUCACACUGCAAUCCCCGAGGUGAAUGAGGCAACAGGUGCUCUUACUUAUGAAGCAGAAUCACCUGACGAGGGGGCUUUUCUUGUGGCAGCCAGAGAAUUUGGAUUUGAAUUUUUCAAGAGAACACAAGCGAGUGUCUUCCUCAAAGAGAAAUACACUUCCUCUAAUGGCACAACUGAGAGGGAGUUCAAGAUUCUCAAUUUAUUGGAGUUCAACAGCAAAAGAAAGCGAAUGACGGUAAUUAUGAGGGAUGAAGAUAACCGUAUUGUUCUUCUUUGCAAAGGAGCAGAUACCAUUAUAUUUGAUAGACUAGCAAAAAAUGGAAGGUUGUAUGAGCCAGAUACAACCAAGCAUCUCAAUGAAUAUGGUGAGGCAGGCUUGCGGACGUUAGCGCUAUCAUACAGAAUGCUUGAGGAAUCAGAAUAUGAAUCUUGGAAUGCUGAGUUUCUUAAAGCGAAGACAUCCAUUGGACCUGAUAGGGAAUUGCAACUUGAGCGAGUCGCAGAUUUGAUUGAGAAGGAGCUGAUCCUUGUUGGUGCAACAGCGGUUGAGGACAAACUACAAACAGGGGUUCCUCAGUGCAUUGAUCGCUUGGCACAAGCAGGUCUCAAAAUCUGGGUUCUGACGGGCGAUAAGAUGGAAACUGCAAUCAACAUAGGAUACGCAUGCAGUUUACUUAGGCAAGGAAUGAAACAGAUAUCCUUGUCCACAACCGCUGGUGACCAAGUAGCCCAGGAUGCACAAAAGGCUGCGAAAGAGAGUCUUAUGUUGCAAAUCGCCAAUGCUUCACAAAUGGUAAAGCUAGAGAAGGAUCCUGACGCAGCAUUUGCUCUUGUUAUUGAUGGAAAAGCUCUUACAUUUGCUUUGGAAGAUGACAUGAAGCAUAUGUUCUUGAAUCUAGCAGUAGAGUGUGCUUCUGUCAUAUGUUGCCGUGUGUCUCCAAGACAGAAAGCACUGGUGACCCGACUGGUCAAAGAAGGCCUUGGAAAAACCACUUUAGCAGUAGGUGACGGUGCAAAUGAUGUGGGCAUGAUUCAAGAAGCUGAUAUUGGUGUUGGUAUUAGUGGGGUCGAAGGCAUGCAGGCUGUGAUGGCGAGUGACUUUUCUAUUUCCCAAUUUCGGUUCCUUGAGCGACUUCUUGUUGUACAUGGCCAUUGGUGCUACAAGAGAAUUGCCCAAAUGAUCUGCUACUUCUUUUACAAGAAUAUUACCUUUGGACUUACAAUAUUUUACUUCGAGGCAUUCGCUGGAUUUUCUGGGCAAUCAGUCUAUGAUGAUUGGUUUAUGCUGCUUUUCAACGUUGUUCUUACCUCUCUACCUGUUAUAUCACUUGGAGUAUUUGAGCAAGAUGUUUCUGCUGAAAUCUGCUUGCAGUUCCCAGCGCUAUAUCAGCAAGGACCAAAUAACCUUUUCUUUGACUGGUACCGGAUUUUAGGAUGGAUGGCAAAUGGCCUCUACUCAUCUCUGGCGAUAUUCUUUCUCAACAUCUGUAUAUUCUAUGAUCAAGCAAUCCGCUCUGGUGGACAGACUGCCGACAUGGCUUCAGUGGGAACCACCAUGUUCUCCUGCAUCAUCUGGGCUGUCAAUAUACAGAUUGCUCUGACAAUGAGCCAUUUCACGUGGAUUCAACAUCUGUUUGUGUGGGGCAGCAUAGGGACUUGGUAUGUCUUCAUUAUCACAUACGGGAUGGCUUUGAAGUCCAGAGACAACUUCCAGAUUAUGACAGAAGUUCUCGGGCCUGCUCCCAUUUACUGGGCAGCGACCCUUCUGGUGACUGCUGCUUGCAACAUCCCCUACCUGAUUCACAUAUCCUACCAGAGAUCAUGCAAUCCACUUGAUCACCAUGUGAUUCAGGAGAUCAAGUACCUACGGAAAGACGUCGAAGACGAAACAAUGUGGAAGAGGGAACGGUCUAAGGCGAGACAGAGGACCAAGAUUGGUUUCACCGCAAGGGUAGACGCAAAGAUUAAGCAGCUCAAGGGGAGGUUGCAUAAGAAAAGCCCGUCAUUAACCAUCCAUACUGUAGCGUAG